This 253-nucleotide ribosomal RNA is filed under the name uncultured bacterium. RNAcentral describes it as "partial 16S ribosomal RNA". It matches the Rfam family "Bacterial small subunit ribosomal RNA", at positions 524 to 776 of the family's 1533-position model. The record is from RNAcentral.
UACGUAGGGGGCAAGCGUUGUCCGGAAUUAUUGGGCGUAAAGAGCGCGUAGGCGGUCCGAUAAGUCGGCUGUGAAAGUCAGGGGCUCAACCCUUGGAAGCCGGCCGAUACUGUCGGACUAGAGUCCGGAAGAGGCGAGUGGAAUUCCUGGUGUAGCGGUGAAAUGCGCAGAUAUCGGGAAGAACACCCGUGGCUAAGGCGGCUCUCUAGUACGGUACUGACGCUGAGACGCGAAAGCGUGGGGAGCGAACAGG